Molecule: ribosomal RNA, 269 nt
Filed under: uncultured anaerobic ammonium-oxidizing bacterium
Lineage: Bacteria
Description: partial 16S ribosomal RNA
Rfam family: Bacterial small subunit ribosomal RNA
Source: RNAcentral
GAGCACGUAGGUGGGUUUGUAAGUCGGUUGUGAAAGCCUUCCGCUCAACGGGAGAACAGCAUCCGAUACUGCAUGGCUUGAGUGUGAGAGGGGAGAGUGGAACUUCUGGUGGAGCGGUGAAAUGCGUAGAUAUCAGAAGGAACGCCGGCGGCGAAGGCGACUCUCUGGUCCGUAACUGACGCAGAGUGUGCGAAAGCUAGGGGAGCAAACGGGAUUAGAUACCCCGGUAGUCCUAGCCGUAAACGAUGGGCACUAAGUAGAGGGGUUUU